This 302-nucleotide unclassified non-coding RNA is filed under the name Hevea brasiliensis (rubber tree). The record is from RNAcentral. Lineage: Eukaryota; Viridiplantae; Streptophyta; Magnoliopsida; Malpighiales; Euphorbiaceae.
GGAACUACUGAAAGGUACUUCUUUCCUGUGGAUUCACGUCGUGUAAAAGAUUUUCGAUUGGGGGACAACUCCAUGCCCUGGAAAGAAUACUCAUCAAAUGAUGAGGACGAAUUCCAUGAUGAGGUCCCAAAUCUUGAGCUGGCUUUAGGGGCUGAGGCAAAAACCCCAAAUAAAGGAAUCCUGCCUUUCUUUGUUGGAAUGGUAGAGAAAAAUAAUAGCCAGAAGAAGACUCCAGAUAAUGUGACAGAUAAGGAAGAGGAGGAUGGUGUCUCUGCUUCCCUUUCCCUUUCUCUUUCAUUCCC